This 776-nucleotide ribosomal RNA is filed under the name Planktothrix agardhii IFCC-PA01. RNAcentral's name for it is "bacterial SSU rRNA". It matches the Rfam family "Bacterial small subunit ribosomal RNA", at positions 24 to 851 of the family's 1533-position model. Lineage: Bacteria; Bacillati; Cyanobacteriota; Cyanophyceae; Oscillatoriales; Microcoleaceae. The record is from RNAcentral.
UCAGGAUGAACGCUGGCGGUCUGCUUAACACAUGCAAGUCGAACGGAAUCCUUAGGGAUUUAGUGGCGGACGGGUGAGUAACACGUAAGAACCUGCCUCUAGGACGGGGACAACAGUUGGAAACGACUGCUAAACCCGGAUGAGCCGAAAGGUAAAAGAUUAAUCGCCUAGAGAGGGGCUUGCGUCUGAGGUGAGGUAAGAGCCCACCAAGGCGACGAUCAGUAGCUGGUCUGAGAGGAUGAUCAGCCACACUGGGACUGAGACACGGCCCAGACUCCUACGGGAGGCAGCAGUGGGGAAUUUUCCGCAAUGGGCGAAAGCCUGACGGAGCAAGACCGCGUGGGGGAGGAAGGUUCUUGGAUUGUCAACCCCUUUUCUCAGGGAAGAACACAAUGACGGUACCUGAGGAAAAAGCAUCGGCUAACUCCGUGCCAGCAGCCGCGGUAAUACGGGGGAUGCAAGCGUUAUCCGGAAUGAUUGGGCGUAAAGAGUCCGUAGGUAGUCAUCCAAGUCUGCUGUUAAAGAGCGAGGCUUAACCUCGUAAAGGCAGUGGAAACUGGAAGACUAGAGUGUAGUAGGGGCAGAGGGAAUUCCUGGUGUAGCGGUGAAAUGCGUAGAGAUCAGGAAGAACACCGGUGGCGAAGGCGCUCUGCUGGGCUAUAACUGACACUGAGGGACGAAAGCUAGGGGAGCGAAUGGGAUUAGAUACCCCAGUAGUCCUAGCGGUAAACGAUGGAAACUAGGUGUGGCCUGUAUCGACCCGAGCCGUGCCGAAG